Molecule: long non-coding RNA, 685 nt
Organism: Homo sapiens (human)
Lineage: Eukaryota; Metazoa; Chordata; Mammalia; Primates; Hominidae
Exons: 3
Source: RefSeq, a predicted model, not a curated record
CCAGCUCACAUUCAGAGGCAGCAUAAUUUAUGAAGCUCUGAGGACAGUGGGAGCCCUUUUCCCACUGGAAAUCAGGCCCAAGGUCUUAUGAAAACAGACUUUCUUUUCAAACAUCAGGAGGAAAUACUGCAAGAAGGAUGCCCAUGGCACUUUGAAUGUUCCGGAUCCACCAAUAUCAGAAAGAUCUUCACUGAGGUGGAGGAGCAGUGCAGUGGCCAAGAGAAAGAUGGGAUUGACAGAGGGAAAUAAAAAGAACUCUGAUAUGUAAUAGACUGGAUAAUCAGGAUACAGUAGGCCAUGGUCACAUUUGAGCUCCAGGUGGUGUCUGAUUGACUUGGAAACAGUACAAUAGGGGCAAAUUUUACCCUCACAUUUCCUGGCAACUUUGGGUUCAAAGAUAUUAGCUGUUACUUGACAUUCCCAUUGGCAAAAAUGAAGGGCAUGCCUCUGUUGACAAAGCAUGAAACGUCAUCUGUUGUGUCUGUAAUGCCAUAAAUGAGUCAUUGAUUCCACAGAAGAGCAAGAAAAAAGAGCAGGAAGGGCAGGAAAUGUUAGUUACCAUAUUUCUCCAUCAUCCAUGGCAUGUGAUGGGGCAGAACAUGUCACCAGGCAACAGUAACAUGGGGCUGUUUCUUGGCCUCUCAGCUCCAGUACUGGGAUAAUCUAUUAAAUCGUCUCACAACUU